UAGUCUGAGAGGAUGAUCAGCCACACUGGGACUGAGACACUGCCCAGACUCCUACGGGAGGCUGCAGUCGAGGAUCAUUCGCAAUGCGCGAAAGCGUGACGAUGCGACGCUGCGUGGAGGAUGAAGGCCCUUGGGUCGUAAACUCCUGUCAUUCGGGAAAAGUACUCUCAAGAACAAUACUCUUGGGAAUUGAUGGUACCGAAAGAGGAAGCCACGGCUAACUCUGUGCCAGCAGCCGCGGUAAUACAGAGGUGGCAAGCGUUGUUUGGAUUUACUGGGCGUAAAGGGUGCGUAGGUGGCAAUGUAUGUCGGAUGUGGAAUCCCACGGCUCAACCGUGGAACUGCAUUCGAAACUGCAUAGCUAGAGUGUAGGAGGGGAGAGCGGAAUUCUUGGUGUAGCGGUGAAAUGCGUUGAUAUCAAGAAGAACACCGGUGGCGAAGGCGGCUCUCUGGAAUACUACUGACACUGAUGCACGAAAGCUGGGGGAGCAAACAGGAUUAGAUACCCUGGUAGUCCCAGCCGUAAACGGUGUGAACUUGGUGUAGGGGGUAUUGACCCCCCCUGUGCCGGAGCUAACGCGUUAAGUUCACCGCCUGGGGAGUACGGCCGCAAGGCUAAAACUCAAAGAAAUUGACGGGGGCCCGCACAAGCGGAGGAGCAUGUGGCUUAAUUCGAUGCAACGCGAAGAACCUUACCAGGGCUUGACAUGGCGACCCUUCGGGGGUGGAAGUGAAGGCUUCCUUUACGAUCACAGGUGCUGCAUGGCUGUCGUCAGUUCGUGCCGUGAGGUGUUUGGUUAAGUCCAGCAACGAACGCAACCCCUGUGUUUAGUUGCCACUUCGACUUCGGUCGGAAGCACUCUAAACAGACUGCCCGUACAAGCGGGAGGAAGGUGGGGAUGACGUCAAGUCAGUAUGGCCCUUACGCCCUGGGCUGCACACGUGCUACAAUGGUCGGUACAAAGGGGUGCAAUAUCGCAAGGUGGAGCUAAUCCUCAAAGCCGGCCCCAGUUCGGAUUGGAGUCUGCAACUCGACUCCAUGAAGUUGGAUUCGCUAGUAACGGCGUAUCAGCUACGACGCCGUGAAUACGUUCCCGGGCCUUGUACACACCGCCCGUCACAUCAUGAAAGCCGUCUGCACCCGAAGUCGCUGAGCCAACCCGCAAGGGAGGCAGGUGCCGAAGGUGUGGGUGGUGAUUGGGAUGAAGUCGUAACAAGGUA
This 1221-nucleotide ribosomal RNA is filed under the name metagenome. Its description in RNAcentral is "bacterial SSU rRNA". It matches the Rfam family "Bacterial small subunit ribosomal RNA", at positions 288 to 1498 of the family's 1533-position model. The record is from RNAcentral.